AUCUUUGAACAUGGGGAAAUAACACAACCAAUGAGGUUCUAACUGGGGCACAUCUAUUGCUGGUUGAAAUCUAAUUCCAAACCCCUUGAUGAAACGCUUCAUUUAUUACAUAAAAUUUCACCAGAAA
Molecule: small nuclear RNA, 127 nt
Filed under: Capsicum annuum
Lineage: Eukaryota; Viridiplantae; Streptophyta; Magnoliopsida; Solanales; Solanaceae
Description: U4 spliceosomal RNA
Rfam family: U4 spliceosomal RNA
About the family: U4 small nuclear RNA (U4 snRNA) is a component of the major U2-dependent spliceosome. The structure of U4 snRNA from yeast and human has been reported.
Source: Rfam by way of RNAcentral